This 443-nucleotide ribosomal RNA is filed under the name uncultured bacterium. Its description in RNAcentral is "partial 16S ribosomal RNA". It matches the Rfam family "Bacterial small subunit ribosomal RNA", at positions 338 to 795 of the family's 1533-position model. The record is from RNAcentral.
CCUACGGGAGACAGCAGUGGGGAAUAUUGGGCAAUGGGCGCAAGCCUGACCCAGCAAAGCCGCGUGAAGGAAGAAGGCUUUCGGGUUGUAAACUUCUUUUCUCAGGGACGAAGCAAGUGACGGUACCUGAGGAAUAAGCCACGGCUAACUACGUGCCAGCAGCCGCGGUAAUACGUAGGUGGCAAGCGUUAUCCGGAUUUACUGGGUGUAAGGGGCGUGUAGGCGGGAAAGCAAGUCAGAUGUGAAAACCAUGGGCUCAACCUGUGGACUGCAUUUGAAACUGUUUUUCUUGAGUACUGGAGAGGCAGACGGAAUUCCUAGUGUAGCGGUGAAAUGCGUAGAUAUUAGGAGGAACACCAGUGGCGAAGGCAGUCUGCUGGACAGCAACUGACGCUGAGGCGCGAAAGCGUGGGGAGCAAACAGGAUUAGAUACCCGAGUAGUC